RNAcentral lists this ribosomal RNA (460 nucleotides) under uncultured bacterium. Its description in RNAcentral is "partial 16S ribosomal RNA". It matches the Rfam family "Bacterial small subunit ribosomal RNA", at positions 338 to 795 of the family's 1533-position model. The record is from RNAcentral.
CCUACGGGGGGCAACAGUGAGGAAUAUUGGUCAAUGGACGAGAGUCUGAACCAGCCAAGUAGCGUGAAGGAUGACUGCCCUAUGGGUUGUAAACUUCUUUUAUAUGGGAAUAAAAUGUUCCACGUGUGGGAUUUUGUAUGUACCAUAUGAAUAAGGAUCGGCUAACUCCGUGCCAGCAGCCGCGGUAAUACGGAGGAUCCGAGCGUUAUCCGGAUUUAUUGGGUUUAAAGGGAGCGUAGGUGGAUUGUUAAGUCAGUUGUGAAAGUUUGCGGCUCAACCGUAAAAUUGCAGUUGAAACUGGCAGUCUUGAGUACAGUAGAGGUGGGCGGAAUUCGUGGUGUAGCGGUGAAAUGCUUAGAUAUCACGAAGAACUCCGAUUGCGAAGGCAGUUCACUGGACUGCAACUGACACUGAGGCUCGAAAGUGUGGGUAUCAAACAGGAUUAGAUACCCGGGUAGUC